AAUUUUCUGAGUUUUUUCUUGUAACAUUUUGUCAUUGUUUUCUUGUAAAUUUACCCAGUAUUUUCAGAGUUAGCUAUUUUAUUUCUCAUAAAUUCGCAAGAUUGUUCCUUGUGAUGUGCUUGGAAUUUUUUUAAAUUGCAUUUUUUUUAAAUUAACAUUUUUACUUUUUAAAUUAAGAAGUUUUUAGUAAGUUUACCAGUUGUUUCCAUACAUUUGCUAGCUUGUUUCUCAUUCAUUCGUUUAGCAUUAUCUACGUAAAUGUUUUAUUUUCUCUCAUAUAUUUCAGUUUUUUGAAAAUUUACCAACUAUUUUCAUAGAAAUUUGCAGGUUUUUUCACAUAAAUGUUCUAUUCUUUUCCUCAUAAAUUCACGUUUUUUGUCAUAAAUGUUGACCUUUUUUCCUUCUUUCUUCUUUCUCUUUGAGAGCAGUUUUUCACUCAUAGUGACUCAGAUUAGCAAAUUAUUGCAGCUGGAAGGACAAAAACGACAUAUUGUCACCCAGGUCUGUAGGCUGUCCUCUAACUGGGAGUAUAUUUGCUUAUUCGGCAUGUCAGCUCAUCUGUACAGAACAGGUCUGUGCAACUUAUGGUGUCAAGAGCAAACGGAAGAGGUCAUUUGAGGCUAAACUAAUGUACUAUUUAGUCACUUUGGCUUUUUGGGCUAAUUGGAGAGACCUGCUUUUAAAAACAUAAAUUUUUUUCACUGAUUGUUUCUGUUCUGUCACUUUGCCUUCACCAGUGUUUGGUUAGUAAUCACAAAUCAUCAUUAGGUCUGAAGCUAUCAGUGAUCUCAGUGAUAUUUUUCCCAGAUAAACAUAUCUGCAGUGUGAUGCUACAGUAUGCACAAAGGACUUUAAAUUGAUUGUGUGCAGUUUCACUGGCUUAGCAUCUGGCGCUCGUGAUAAUCCCCCUUCUGUCCUGCAUCAGUCGCACGUAUUGAUGAAGCACUCAGGGCUGUAGUACUACAUUUACUCGGCACAUUAGCCCAUUACAGUUAUGGGCAGGCAAGGAAGAGGUACUUUUAACCUGCACAAACUCAGCGAGUCCGUCACUAGUACCUGCAUGGGGAUGAAUAGCAGCUGUAGGUGCUGUCUCAGCAGGGAGGAGAUGAAAAGUGUUUUGGCAGGCGCCGCACCGGUCCAGAUUGUAACCCCUAUUUCUGCCUCCAAAAACCUGCCUUGGAGGAGCGUCCACGGAGGGAUUAGGGAUUUAGUGGGGAAGGUAAGUGUGACUACAAGCUUUGGCUCGCCAUCUGCUCCCCAGCAGAGUUGAGGCCAACCUGUGCAGCCUGCAGCAAAGACCUGGGCACUGUGCUAACUCUGGCUCGAGCCAACCUGGCGCCCGCGGCCCCAAUCACCAACAGUCUGCUGAUUAGUUGUAAGAAGCACUCCAUAUGUAGCAAAGUUUUUUUUCCUCCUCUCUCUCUGUCUGUCUGUCUCCUUCCCUUCCUUCCUCUCUUCCUUCUGUAUCCUCUCGCCGCAUUAAAUAAAUAUGGAUGCAUGGAUUUUUUUUUUUUUAAUCGCCUUCGGUGGUCUGUUUUUCUUCUCGCUCACCUCUGACAGAAUACCAAGCCAGGGGAAGGAAAGGAAAAGAAGAUGAAGAGGGUGAAGUAGAAGGAGAAGAAAAAGAAGAAGAAGAAAUCCUGGCUGUCCUCCUCUCCCUUCUUCUCCUUCCCCUCCCUUGCUCUCUUUUGCCUGGCAGCGCCGGGAGACAGAUGACAGGGGUUUGUGGCCGUCUGAUCACCCCUGGGUGGGUAUUUUCUAAUUUAUUUAACGGCAGCUUAUUAAAGAAGAAGAAAAAAAAACAAGAUGAAGAAGAGGAGGACGGAGAAUAAAGAACACAGGAGGAAGGCAGGUCUCUCGCCCCAACGCUGCCCAAAGAAGAGGAGGCAGCGACUCCCUUGGUGGAGAUACCCGAGAAGAUCAAACGACACCAGAGGAGAAGAAGGAGGGGAGGAAAAAAAGCACAAGAAACAUAAUGCUCAUUAUUAAAUUGCAGCCAUUCCUGUUGCCAGGAACCUAUUUCUCAGUAUUAAUUAUUCAUAUUUUAUUUCAGUAAUCCAAUACUCAGGUGAGAGCGGGUGCUUGUGAUAGAACGUGUAAUUUUGAAGCUUAAUGGCAGUGGGGCGGCCCGAGCAAGGGAUUAGAAACAGAGUAUAAAUCACUAAUGGCUGCGUGGACGUACGGCGGCUUGAAUCCGUCUUGCUUUGUGUUUACUUGUGUUUUAUUGCGCCACGACGCUCCGAGGGAAACACUUCGCCGUGACCUUUCUCUCCCUCCACAACCCCCCGAAACUUGAGAAACAGGGCUGCAAGAAUGUGAGAAAAGAGGAAAAACUAGUGUCACACUUUGCAGGGAAAACAAUUUUCCCGCUUUGUCUAAACAAAGAGUUCAUCAGCAUUUUUCUCUGGUUUCCCGGCUGACAGUGAAUGCGCAGGAAGCAGAGAGUGGAGGACGUGUUUGCAAAUGCGCACAAGGCCUGAUUCAUACAGAUUAUGUUUUUCAAGCAGAAUAGCGCCAUCACUUACUUUUUAUCCGAUUACUUUCACCCUGAAAUCCAUCUUCACGAUAAGAAGAAAUUAUGGACAUUUCAGGAGUUUUGGGGAAUAUUAUGAGCAUUUUUUUCCCCUCUCCUUUUUUUGUAGAGCCCGAGGUCCCGCCGUCUCAUAAAUGUCUCUGUCAUCACCUUCGCCAUCGCUCUCAGGCGGGCUGACAGUGCAGGAGGCGUUUGCUCCUUCACACCCAUUUAUAUCCUCUGUUACACUGAUGAAAAAAGUGAAAAAUACGCAGGCAUAUUUCUAACCCAGACACAGAUGACUAUAACUGUCCUGCAUGUUUAGAAUAGGAGCUGAACACACAUCUUUGUUAAAGGAAAAAAAUUCUUGUUUUUUUUUUUCAUUUUUGAGAAGUCUGAUACCGCUCUGUUGGCACAGCUACGUUAUAGCAAGUAGGCAGUUAGCCUAGGCUAAAGAAAAGAAACCAAGUAAACUACAGACAAUAUGUAUGAGAUAUAUGCAACCACCAUAAUCUGACUCAUUUACAUCUUGAUGGAUCAAGUUUUACAUUUCGGUGAUCGUCAUCUUGCCUGUUUUUUAACCAAACAGCAGCCAAAUCAAAUUCUGGCUAGCUAACUUCAUUAGCAAGUUGUAUACACCCUGUUUUAAGCUGUAAUGCUACAUUAUGGCUAGCAAAAAGCAGGCUUAGAAAGACAAUGUGUAUAAGAAUGUAACCACCACAAAAUGAGCUGCGUAACUCUUUUGGUGGUCAUAAUCUUGUUUAUUUUUUAACCAAAAUCGGUAGCUAAAGCUAAUACUGGCUUGCUAGCUUGUUUAGCAAAGUGCAUUCAGUUUUAAGUGAAGCACUUUGUGAUCCGUAUUUUGAAACAUUUUGAGACUAUAAAAGAAGUGCUUGCUCAUAGGAGGUCAUAUGAUCUUGGGUUUUUCUCUGUAUGUAAUUUUGUAGGGUUUACCUUAAAAAAUAAAGUGCCUUGAGGGGACUGUUGCUUUGAUUUGGUGCUGUCUAAAUAAAAUUGAAAAAUUGAAUUGAAUUAUACAUUUACGGUAAGUCUUCUGUACAUUUAGGUAUAUUUACUGUAAAUGUUCUAUAGCUACUGUAUAUUUAUUGUAAGUUUAAUAAAAACUAUCUAUAUCUACCAUAAGUUUAUUGUGAAU
This is a long non-coding RNA of Oreochromis niloticus (Nile tilapia), 3668 nucleotides long. NCBI's taxonomy places the organism in Eukaryota, Metazoa, Chordata, Actinopteri, Cichliformes, Cichlidae. The record is from Ensembl.